Long non-coding RNA from Gigantopelta aegis, 681 nucleotides. RefSeq lists it as uncharacterized. The record is from RefSeq and is a predicted model, not a curated record. Lineage: Eukaryota; Metazoa; Mollusca; Gastropoda; Neomphalida; Peltospiridae. The transcript has 3 exons.
UGUUUUAACUUCAGAAAUGUGGGAACAGAAUCGCUCUUUGUCAUAUAAUAAUCAUAUUUUAGUUCUGUAAAUGUAAACUAUCUGUGCAAGGAUCUAAUACUACCAAAUGACAACUAACUACCGUGCUGUGCUGUUGUAAUGUUUUCUACAAGUGCUGAGUGGAAAAAUCAUUAGAGGCAUCAUUUGGACGUGUGGUGUGCAUGGUGAGGUGAUGAUCACAUCAUGGUGGGUUCGACUCCGCAAUCAGUCACUGUGAUGGAUCUCGUUACUGCGUGGGCUUCACUUCAGGCUCAUGGGCUACACGGAAACAAUUUUUACGUAUUUUGAGGUCGAAGCGCGUACAUUUUUUGAUAAAGACUUCAAGAGCAGUGCACUUUUAACUACAUUAAAUGUGUGACAUGUUGUGAAAAUCUACCUGUGCUCGACUAUGGGCCAGGUACGACUGAGCAGUACUCAUAACAUAGAGCGAUCGUACGCAAAUAUGGAUACGAUCAUUGACAUAUUUGGCACAAGCAAGGGGCCAGACGCAUAUUUUUUUCUAAGACCAGCAUAUAAGUGAACAAUACAUUUCUAUUUUGUACUUUAAUACUCGUUAAUUGUAAUCCAUGUAAAAUGCGUAGUGGGUUCGUUUGCAACCCUAUAUAGCUGUUUGGUAGUGCUUAAUGCAAAUGUGAAUAAACG